RNAcentral lists this ribosomal RNA (811 nucleotides) under uncultured Clostridia bacterium. RNAcentral describes it as "bacterial SSU rRNA". It matches the Rfam family "Bacterial small subunit ribosomal RNA", at positions 239 to 1071 of the family's 1533-position model. The record is from RNAcentral. Lineage: Bacteria; Bacillati; Bacillota; Clostridia.
CAUUAGCUAGUUGGUGAGGUAACGGCUCACCAAGGCCACGAUGCGUAGCCGACCUGAGAGGGUGAUCGGCCACAUUGGAACUGAGACACGGUCCAGACUCCUACGGGAGGCAGCUGUGGGGAAUAUUGCACAAUGGGCGAAAGCCUGAUGCAGCAACGCCGCGUGAGAGAUGAAGGCUUUCGAGUCGUAAAGCUCUUUGAUCAGGGAUGAUAAUGACAGUACCUGAAAAACAAGCCACGGCUAACUACGUGCCAGCAGCCGCGGUAAUACGUAGGUGGCGAGCGUUGUCCGGAAUUACUGGGCGUAAAGGAUGCGUAGGUGGAUAUUUAAGUGGGAUGUGAAAUCCCCGGGCUCAACCCGGGAACUGCAUUCCAAACUGGAUAUCUAGAGUGCAGGAGAGGAAAGCGGAAUUCCUAGUGUAGCGGUGAAAUGCGUAGAUAUUAGGAGGAACACCAGUGGCGAAGGCGGCUUUCUGGACUGUAACUGACACUGAGGCAUAAAAGCGUGGGUAGCAAACAGGAUUAGAUACCCUGGUAGUCCACGCCGUAAACGAUGGGUACUAGGUGUAGGAGGUAUCGACUCCUUCUGUGCCGUCGUUAACACAAUAAGUACCCCGCCUGGGGAGUACGGUCGCAAGACUAAAACUCAAAGGAAUUGACGGGGGCCCGCACAAGCAGCGGAGCAUGUGGUUUAAUUCGAAGCAACGCGAAGAACCUUACCUAGACUUGACAUCUCCUGAAUUACUCUUAAUCGAAGAGCCCUUCGGGCAGAAGACAGGUGGUGCAUGGUUGUCGUCAGCUCGUGUCGUGAG